AUGGAAGAAGAUCAAGUUAAAUUAGCAGCACUCAUCGCGGAGCUAGAGGAGCCAGUAGGUCUUUGUGACUUGCCAGGAAUUGACCCUCCUAAUACUACGAGAAAGAAGGGAAGGGCAAUAAAGAAUUUUUCUGAGUGGAUAGAGAAAGAGCCUCCAGUGAAUUGGUCUUUGCUGCAUGACACACAUGGAGCUAGGUAUGGCCACAUGACAACCAAUCUUGCAGAGGUGUAUAACUUUGUGCUGAGAGGGGACAGAGCAUUGCCACUCACAGCUAUUGUGGAGGCUGUAUUCCAUGGCACUUUGAGAUAUUUCAGAGAAAGGCACGAGUUAGCACAGAAGCAUAUUGAAGAUAAUCAGAACACACCUUAUUGUAGCCGUGUCAUGGAAUACAUGGCAAAGAAGAUAGAGAAAGCAAAGAAGCACACUGUCAGACUUAUAGGGAAUCAAGAAAGGAGGUAUGAGGUUCAGCUUCCUACCGAUGGUUUUGGUUCUGGAAAUGAGGUGAAGACACAGGAGGUAAAAAUUGGAACGGAAUUUUAUCCAACGUGUGAGUGUACAUGCAACAAACCGAAGUUGUUGCACCUACCUUGCUCUCAUGUGUUGGCUGCCUGUGGGCAGAUUGAGUUGGAUGCUAUCUCCUUCGUGUCCCCAUACUAUUUAAAAGAGGCAGUGCUCAACACCUGGACAGGCGAGAUGACAGGGUUUAGAGUCGUCGGCAAUUUCAACAAGGUAAACGAAGGUGAGAGAGUAUAUAUCCCGCAUCCAGACCUUCGGCGAACAAGUAGGGGCAGACGGAAGGCCCGUCGCAUCCGGAACGAUAUGGACCAGUCUGAAGCUGGUGGAGCAACCAGGCAAUGUUUGUUAUGCGCGGCUUAUGGGCAUAGGAUGAAAUAU
RNAcentral lists this ribosomal RNA (894 nucleotides) under Triticum aestivum (bread wheat). Its description in RNAcentral is "partial small subunit ribosomal RNA". The record is from RNAcentral. Lineage: Eukaryota; Viridiplantae; Streptophyta; Magnoliopsida; Poales; Poaceae.